ACGAACGCUGGCGGCGUGCUUAACACAUGCACGUCGCACGGGAUUUAGUAAACGGAAGCCUCGGUGGAAGAUUACUAAUGAGAGUGGCGAACGGGUGAGUAACGCGUGAGCAACCUGCCUAUGACAGUGGGAUAGCCUCGGGAAACCGGGAUUAAUACCGCAUAAAAUCGUAGAAACACAUGUUUCAACGGUCAAAGAUUUAUCGGUCAUAGAUGGGCUCGCGUCUGAUUAGCUAGUUGGUGAGAUAACAGCCCACCAAGGCGACGAUCAGUAGCCGGUCUGAGAGGAUGAACGGCCACAUUGGAACUGAGACACGGUCCAAACUCCUACGGGAGGCAGCAGUGGGGAAUAUUGCACAAUGGGGGAAACCCUGAUGCAGCGACGCCGCGUGAACGAAGAAGGUAUUCGUAUCGUAAAGUUCUGUCCUAUGGGAAGAUAAUGACAGUACCAUAGAAGAAAGCUCCGGCUAAAUACGUG
RNAcentral lists this ribosomal RNA (477 nucleotides) under uncultured bacterium. RNAcentral describes it as "partial 16S ribosomal RNA". It matches the Rfam family "Bacterial small subunit ribosomal RNA", at positions 29 to 507 of the family's 1533-position model. The record is from RNAcentral.